Long non-coding RNA from Ostrea edulis (European flat oyster), 3386 nucleotides. RefSeq lists it as uncharacterized. The transcript is spliced from 2 exons. Lineage: Eukaryota; Metazoa; Mollusca; Bivalvia; Ostreida; Ostreidae. The record is from RefSeq and is a predicted model, not a curated record.
AAAAUCUAAGAGUUAGGGGUAGUUGAAAAGGCGACAGAUAAGAACCUGGAUUCCAUUUCAGUACCCCUAAGGCAACCGCAUACAAAGUAUCUACUACCGACACAGUGUCGGGUGUGGUCCAGGCUAACUCUGUAACAAUAACGAAUGAGAAAUAUGUAGUCAUAAAUACAGUAAGAACAAGUUCAAUAGAAACCCGCUCUAAGUGGUGUCAAGAUUUCAUCCCAAUUCCCCAACGGACAAGACGCAUUCAAGUAUCGUUUCCAUCAUCAAUCGUGACUACAGUGUCUACUGGUGUUCAUUGUUUGAGUCUGUUUGGUGAAAUGCCUUUAAUAGUGGCUGCUGGUCUUUUGCCAUCCCAUCAACAGUCCAGACAAUCCACCAGCCAGAUCAAAUCAGUGAUAAACAUGAUGACAGUGAUGAGGGUGAUUAUCAAGAUCCCGACUAUGAUGCUCCCGAGGAAAGUGAUAGUGAGAAUGAGGACUCCAAUAUUUUCCCAUUGCGACUGAAAGUGAAGCCAAAAGAUGAACGACAGUUCCUUGUAUUAGAAUCAAGAUUAGGAAAGCUUCUACGGAAAUGUGACAUCUGUGGCAUGAACUCGCAUUGGCAUCUGAAUAUUACAAAGGGCACUAUGAUAGGAACAAUAUCAGCAUGUUCUUAUGGGCAUUCUUCAGAUUCUGUGUAGCCACCCUACACUCCAACGAAAAUGGCACCUGAUAACAAGCUAGAACGACUGGAGCAGCACGGUGGCAUUUGAGUUUAAGGGGAUAUCAUAGUCGUGAUAACUGAUAAAACUCCAAUUACCUAUGGAUUUUCACUACAUCUUCAUACUAUGGGAGAUUCUGCGCACCAACUCAAUUGAACGCCAUCUUCAGUUUUCGUCUCGUCCAGCAGAGGCAUAUUACAGUGCGACAUUUAACUCUGGACACGACAAAAGUCCGGAGUUUCGCCAACCCUUUUAUUAAGGAUACAAAUAAACCCUUUACAAAAAAAGAUGGGAUUUUAUGUCCACAAGACAUGCACCAACAUUUACACUUGUAACUAUUGUAGUUUUUAAGAUAUUUCACCUGAAAUCAAAAAAUCCCAUGGGAUUUUGGAGGGAUUUUUAAUCCCACUUGGGGGAUUUUCACUCCUACCAAAAAUCCCAUGGGAGAAAAAAUAUAAUUUCUCCCAUAGGAUUUUAACUCCCAUAUUUAAAUUCAAAAUGGGAUACAAUGUCCCAUAGGAGGAAAUGUCCCAUAAUGAACAUGAAAUGGCAGUGAAUAUCCUAUUUGAGCAUGAAUGGGAAUAAAUAUCCCAAAUAAAACACAGGAUGGGGACUUUUAUCCCAUGAAUAUAGUAAUAAAGCAGAAAAUUGUAUCUUAAAGAGUGUUGUUUGUCAUGAUUCUUAAGAAUGUACUUGCAAGCUAAGGAAUGACAUUAACUUUGUAUCUAGUAAUUACAUUCCUAAAUUAUGUAGACCUAUACAUGUGUUAAUGGAUAAAUGUCUAAACAACAUGAGAAAUUAAAUUAUAUUAGAGCUCUGCAUUACUAAACUCUUUCCCAUGCAAUUUCAAUUGUAUACAUAUAACCCUAUCACAAAAAUAUUAGAAUAAAAUUGAACGGUAUUAAAUUAUGCAGUUAGAACACUAACUUAUUUACAUGCAGCUGUUCACAUUCUCUAUUUACAACCCUUUACAGGUCGUCAGGUGUGAAUAUUCACAGGAACCGGUAUUUUUGUCUGUAAUAAUAAUAGUAGGCCCUAUGGUACCAUCCCCAAUGAAAAAAAUAACCUAAAAGGAAUGGCACCAUUUCUUACUCAAAACUUCGCUUCAAAAUAAUUCGAAAAUUCUGCUUUUAUCGUCCCCACCCCAAUUGUCAUUCUGAUUCAGUAAUCCCAGUACUUUUAUUAGGGGUGUGUGGUAUAUACCCCUACUCUUAUCAUUAUGUACAGGCUAAAUUACCGGUUCCUCUGAUAUGUUGUGGAAUUUUGGAAUAGCCUAGCUUACAGUUACAAUUUGUUUACAAUAUAUUAAAAUUAGUGUUAAUUAAGUGCUUACGGUGAAAUCUGCUACUGCUAGAUGAUGCUAAGUUGUUUCGUGAACCGAAUCAGACAUCUCCAACAAGAUUCUCGAAGAUUUAACAACACAAGAAUCAUUUUACAAAAUGCAUGCUUCGGUCCAUCAUUCUCCCUCUGACAAUCACAUUCAUUCUGAAGUCAAAGUACUUUCUCCUAUACCUGAAGCGUCAAAAAGACUUUGACAGGUAAAUACGAAUAAACGGUUAACAGACAUCUCGACCCUAAGAAAGUUCAGUCCUGGAUGUUCUAGUCCAAAAAGAAGUAUGAUCCAAUCUUAUGCAUUCAUUUAUUACAUUUCCGGUUGAGCAACACCCAAAUCCUCUAGAGACAUUGUUUACAGUUAUAUGACAUUACCUAAAUGUGUGACACAAUAUUAAUCCACCCCUGCUCAAAGGGGCAUAAGCACCGAGCAUAGACCUAAAUGUUGCAGCCCUUCACUGGCAAUGGUGACGUCUCCAUACAAGUGAAAAAUUCUCAAACAGGACGUUUACGUUUUUUUUGGGUUUUUUUUUUUAAUUUUGUUUUCAUUUUUUUAAAUGUUAAACAUGAAAAGUAUAACUGAAUCUGUGUUCACAGCCAAAAUUUUAACCUUCUGGAUGCAGGAAUAAAAGCAAUAUUUUAGCCUUCAUUCUGUGUUAUGUAAACAAAGACUGGAGUCUUUUUAUGUUUACAUUUAAGGUGGCUCACUACACCGGGAAAUAGUUUCUCAAAUCAGUACAAAUAGAUUUAAUAUUUUAAAAAAGAUCUGAUGAUAUACAAUAAGUGUGUAUGCCAAAAACAGCAAAAAAUGCAAAUUUGGAUAAAAACAUGAUUUUCAAAAAUAUUAUUUCAACACAUGAACAAAAGACUGGUGGAUUUGAGCUCAAGAUCUGUAGUUCACCAGCCCAAUGCUCUCUCUCUCUCUCUCUUUCUCUCUCUCUCUCUCUCUUGCCCAAUGCUUUAUUAAUUAACCACUUAGCUAUGGUGUUAUAGACGAAUAAAUCGAUCAAUACAAAUACUUUUCCAAAACAUUUAAAUCGCCAUCUUGUAACAUAGUGUCAUAAAGCUUUAGUGUAGUGAGUACCUUAACAAACCAGUGAAAUGUUUAAUUUUGUAAUUGAAUUUUCAAAGCAUCUUUACUUUUGCACAUGCAAUUUUACAAAGAUUAUUCAAUAAAGGGUAAAAAAAAAAAAAAAACACUUAAAAUACUUGUUUUUGAUCCACUGUAGAUUUUAGGAAAAUAUUAGAUUCCUGGGUCAGAGAAAUCUAGACAUCAUUAAAUGAUAAUGAAGUAUUGUAUAAAAAAAAAAAAAAAAAAAAAAAAAAAAAUUCAAGACUCUUCAAUAUGUUU